GGAAGUCUCUCUGAUGGCUAGCUCUCCUCAUCCUGGAAGGUACCAUUUGGGAAGAGAACUGUCAUAAAAAUUCUCACUCAGCUGUCUGUCCAGUGCGCUGCACAACCAACCAGCCAGGAAAUAAGCACCUACGGCUGCAAUAGGGCCGAGCCGGUGAUGGAGGCAACCGCACUCUGAUCAGAUUAAACGCCUGCCCACGAGAGGAUUCCACAUCUGGUGCUAUAGACUUGGUCCCCACAAAUAGCCCAUGGUAGGGGAGGUCACGGGAGGAUGCUACUCCUUGACUCUGUUAAGUGGGUAUGAUCUGCCCAUCAAAUUCCCAUAUAAAGAUUUGUGUCCGUGCUCACCACUCAUGCUACUGUGUGGAGGGUAAGAGACUGCCGAAUGCGCAGCCAUGAUGGAACUUUUAUAUCACCCUCCUAAGGCUCAGGAAACAUUGCAGAAGAUGGAACGGGAAGAGAGACUAAACAAGCCAGAAGCAGGAGAGGAGUGAGGGAGGAGCAUGAGGAACCCAGUCCUUUAGACUGCCUCUGUCUCCUGGCCUCUAUCAUGGAAAUACCCAACGUGAAUAAAUGAAACAAGAGCUGAAGCAUUCCCUAGCUACCUGUAGGCCACCAUGACAUAAUCAUCUGCUAAGUCCCAACUCGUGUCAGAAGACUCAGGAGUGUCUACAAACUCCUGUGUGGACUGUACUGGUCUCCAGAAAGAGGCAAGCUGGCCAGAGACUCAGUGCAAACUGGUGAGAGACCUGAGCUCCGUAAGCAGACAAAGUGACAUCAAUACUCUUAGUAGCUGAAUGAGAGAAUGCCCAUUUUCCAUACAGGGGACAGGAAGGCACCUGCAGCUGCUCUGACACCCGAAUACUCUGUGGCUAGAAGACCUGUGCGCCACUUGCCUGGAGCCAGCCUCCCAGACAGAACUGCCUCCAUUGCAGAAAGCAACACACACACACACACAGAGAGAGAGAGAGAGAGAGACGCACGACUGUGUCCAAAUGGAUUACUCCUGUCUGCCCAGGAGUGCAUGUCAUUGUCAACAUCAAACACUCCCCAGCUCUGCUCUGGCAGCACCUGCCCUAUUGAUGGACGCUUCUGAGCCGUCACUCACAGAAGGCACUUAAUCCUGUAUGACUUCAAAAGCAAGGUGCGGAUUCUGACUCACAGGACUGGAAGUAACUUUCUCUUGACCACACAACCCGGAGAUCACACAUGAGGCACAUCUGGAUGAGGCACUUCUAGAACCCCAGCAAAGCCCAGGACUUGACUGGUUCCUCCUUUUAUACCCUGAAACCUGACAGCCAAGCUACCAUGGCAUGCAACAGACUCCUGGAGGUUCUUUUAGUGUACGCAAGAAGGAUUUAUUGUAUAUCACUGAAAAAUAAUAUAUCUUUUAUCUUGUAGUUGAACAAACUCCUUUGGAGCUUAUGUGUUAGUGAAAAAUCCUUCUUUCGUGUAUAAUGAAAGAAGCCCCGCCUACAGGAGAGUUAGCAUUUUCUAUUUCCUUUUUCAAACUGAUAGUAAAAUAGGAGGAAAAGGCUGAUUCUCUUUGCUGAUGUCGAGUGUGGUAGAAAGGGUGUGAAAAGAGAGCUUGUGAACAAAGGUGACUUUCGGAGUCACACUUCUGUGUAAAUUCUGUAAACUUGUACAUGAGUGUGAAACAGCAGUAACAGUUUCUACUCGCUGUAGAGACUUGCCUAUAGCAGUUCUUGCAUAUGCACACACACACACACACACACACAAUGAUUUCAUCUCCAAGCCCAGGUUUAUCCCGUGCUGUUUGAAAAUGUCCAUUACUCCCUGUUUCAGUAACUAAACAGCUCUCAGUAUCGAAUGAGUUUACAAUCACCUACUUUUUAAAAAGGCUAGAUGGUUUAGUGUAGAUAUGAUAUCCCUGCCCAGUCACAAUAUAGUAUUAACUAGUUUCAUCUAAAUAUUUUCUUUCCAUUGUCUAAUAAAAAUCAUAUUUUACUGAACACAUGAGUUUUGAUGGCAAAGACGUAGAGAACAACAGAGUUCACAAACAAAUUUUAAAAAAAUAGAAUUCUCUCAAGCUAUUUAAGAAGGCCACAAUAAAGAAGCAAAACUAAAGCAAGUAGAGCCCGGAGCGCGGGAGAUGCGUCUUUAUUUACCAUAAAGUUUUGGCGUAAGGCUAACUUUAUCUCCCCAAAAGAGGAGAGAAUGUUUACCUUCUCUCUCCUCCAUUGUGAUCCCUUGAUCUCCUUAAAUCAUUGGCCUCCGCUGAAUAGAGCCUGUGUUUAUUUAUUCAUUGAUAAACAAGUAUAUAUUUAACUA
Molecule: long non-coding RNA, 2291 nt
Organism: Mastomys coucha (southern multimammate mouse)
Lineage: Eukaryota; Metazoa; Chordata; Mammalia; Rodentia; Muridae
Exons: 3
Source: RefSeq, a predicted model, not a curated record